CCGCACUUCAUUUUUUAUGUGCUUCAUUGACGAAAAUGCUCUCUCCACAGUUGCCGUAGCAACAGGUAAAAUCAAAGUCAACUUUACAAGUAAAUAAACAAGUGAAUAAGUCUCCGCGAGAUUUGCUUCAACCAAUGCCUUCGCCAAAUCAUGAAUUCCUUGCAAGUUGGAGAACUUGGGAUUACCACUUCGCAUAUGAAUAAUGAAAGUAUCGAGUUGAUAGCUCAAAUCUCUAAUUUUUCCAUCAUCAAACUCACUUGGAUAACACUUUGCUAAAGUCAUGAUUUUACCUUUGUCAAAAUUAGAGAAAGAAUUGACCGGAUUCAAGCUACCCAUCCCAAGAAGCAAAUCACUACUCAC
This 360-nucleotide long non-coding RNA is filed under the name Solanum tuberosum (potato). RNAcentral's name for it is "long non-coding RNA (STUB_LNC008582)". The record is from RNAcentral. Lineage: Eukaryota; Viridiplantae; Streptophyta; Magnoliopsida; Solanales; Solanaceae.